RNAcentral lists this ribosomal RNA (421 nucleotides) under uncultured bacterium. RNAcentral describes it as "partial 16S ribosomal RNA". It matches the Rfam family "Bacterial small subunit ribosomal RNA", at positions 360 to 774 of the family's 1533-position model. The record is from RNAcentral.
AAUCUUCGGCAAUGGGGGCAACCCUGACCGAGCGACGCCGCGUGAGUGAAGAAGUUCCUCGGAUUUUUAAGCUCUGUUGUAAGGGAAGAACUGUACCGGUAGGGAAUGACUGGUACCUCCCGGUACCUCACCAGCUAGCCUCGGCCAAGCACGUCCGAGCAGCCGCGGUAAUACGUAGGUGGCAAGCGUUAUCCGGAAUUAUUGGGCGUAAAGGGAGCGCAGGCGGCUUAUUAAGUCUGAGGUUAAAGUUCGGGGCUCAACCCCGUGAUGCCUUAGAAACUGGUAGGCUAGAGUGCAGGAGAGGUGAGUGGAAUUCCAUGUGUAGCGGUAAAAUGCGUAGAUAUAUGGAGAAACACCAGUGGCGAAGGCGGCUCACUGGCCUGUAACUGACGCUGAGGCUCGAAAGCGUGGGGAGCAAAUA